UCCCUACGGGGUGCACCAGGCGCGCAAACUUUACAAGGCGAGCAAUCGUGAUAAGGAAACCCUGAGUGCCUGUCGAUGCAGGCUGUUCAUAUAUCUAAAUCAUAUGUGAAGAAAGGGCAGGGCAAGACCGGUGCCAGCCGCCGCGGUAAUACA
Molecule: ribosomal RNA, 153 nt
Filed under: uncultured Methanocorpusculum sp.
Lineage: Archaea; Methanobacteriati; Methanobacteriota; Methanomicrobia; Methanomicrobiales; Methanocorpusculaceae
Description: partial 16S ribosomal RNA
Rfam family: Archaeal small subunit ribosomal RNA
Source: RNAcentral